RNAcentral lists this ribosomal RNA (465 nucleotides) under uncultured bacterium. Its description in RNAcentral is "partial 16S ribosomal RNA". It matches the Rfam family "Bacterial small subunit ribosomal RNA", at positions 28 to 507 of the family's 1533-position model. The record is from RNAcentral.
GACGAACGCUGGCGGCGUGCUUAACACAUGCAAGUCGAACGGAUAGGCCCUGCUUGCAGGGUCCUCGAGUGGCGAACGGGUGAGUAACACGUGGGUGAUCUGCCCUGCACUUCGGGAUAAGCCUGGGAAACUGGGUCUAAUACCGGAUAGGAGCCAUUUUUAGUGUGAUGGUUGGAAAGUUUUUUCGGUGUAGGAUGAGCUCGCGGCCUAUCAGCUUGUUGGUGGGGUAAUGGCCUACCAAGGCGGCGACGGGUAGCCGGCCUGAGAGGGUGGACGGCCACAUUGGGACUGAGAUACGGCCCAGACUCCUACGGGAGGCAGCAGUGGGGAAUAUUGCACAAUGGGCGCAAGCCUGAUGCAGCGACGCCGCGUGGGGGAUGACGGCCUUCGGGUUGUAAACUCCUUUCGCUAGGGACGAAGCUUUUUGUGACGGUACCUAGAUAAGAAGCACCGGCUAACUACGUG